AAGAACUGUAAUAGAUUAUCAUCUCUCUCUCUCUCUCUCUCUCUCUCUGUCUCUGUCUCUGUCUCUCUCUCUCUCUGUCUCUGUCUCUCUCUCUCUCUCUCUGUGUGUGUGUGUGUGUGUGUGUGUGAGAGAGAGAGAGAGAGAGAGAGAGAGAGAGAUGGAAAGCAACAUUUUUAUA
RNAcentral lists this microRNA precursor (178 nucleotides) under Marmota monax (woodchuck). Lineage: Eukaryota; Metazoa; Chordata; Mammalia; Rodentia; Sciuridae. The record is from RNAcentral.